Molecule: ribosomal RNA, 467 nt
Filed under: uncultured bacterium
Lineage: Bacteria
Description: partial 16S ribosomal RNA
Rfam family: Bacterial small subunit ribosomal RNA
Source: RNAcentral
GACGAACGCUGGCGGCGUGCUUAAUACAUGCAAGUAGAACGGAAAGGCCUCUUUUGGGUUGUCCUCGAGUGUCGAACGGGUGAGUAACACGCGAGUAACAUCCGCCUGACUUUGGGGUAACUUCAGGAGAAAGGGGCUAAUACCGCACAGGAGCUCCUGCUGUACGGUGGGUGUUGGUAAGUUUCGGCGGUUGGGGAUGGCCUGGCGGGUUAUCGGCUUGUUGGUGGGGUAGUGGCUUACCAAGGCUUUGACGGGUAGGCAGCCUGAGGGGGUGAACGGCCACAAUGGGACUGAGAUACGGCGCAGACUCCUACGGGAGGCAACAGUGGGGAAUAUUGCAGAAUGGGUGGAAGCCUGAUGCGGCAACGCCGGGUGCGGGAUGACGGCCUUCGGGUUGUAAACCGCUUUCGCACAUGACGAAGCAUUGUGUGACGGUAGUGGAUAAAAAAGCACCGGCUAACUACGUG